This 71-nucleotide transfer RNA is filed under the name Trichechus manatus latirostris (Florida manatee). RNAcentral describes it as "tRNA-Arg (TCT) (tRNA-Arg-TCT-35-1)". It matches the Rfam family "tRNA". Rfam says of the family: Transfer RNA (tRNA) molecules are approximately 80 nucleotides in length. The record is from Rfam by way of RNAcentral. Lineage: Eukaryota; Metazoa; Chordata; Mammalia; Sirenia; Trichechidae.
GCAUUGGUGGUUCAGUGGUAGAAUUCUCACCUUCUAUGCGGGAUACCCGGGUUCAAUUCCCAGUCAAUGCA